AGAGUUUGAUCCUGGCUCAGGAUGAAUGCUGGCGGCGUGCCUAACACAUGCAAGUCGAGCGGUAACGGGUCUAGUUUACUAGAUGCCGACGAGCGGCGGACGGCUGAGUAACGCGUAGGAAUGUGCCCCAAAGUGAGGAAUAACUGCCCGAAAGGGUAGCUAAUACCGCAUAUGGUCUUCGGAUUAAAGGAUUUAUCCGCUUUGGGAACAGCCUGCGUCAGAUUAGAUAGUUGGUGAGGUAAUGGCUCACCAAGUCGACGAUCUGUAACUGGUUUGAGAGGAUGAUCAGUCAGACUGGAACUGAGACACGGUCCAGACUCCUACGGGAGGCAGCAGUGGGGAAUCUUCCACAAUGGGGGAAACCCUGAUGCAGCAACGCCGCGUGAGUGAUGACGGCCUUAGGGUUGUAAAGCUCUGUCUUCAGGGACGAUAAUGACGGUACCUGAGGAGGAAGCCACGGCUAACUACGUGCCAGCAGCCGCGGUAAUACGUAGGUGGCGAGCGUUGUCCGGAUUUACUGGGCGUAGAGGGAGCGUAGGCGGAUUUUUAAGUGAGAUGUGAAAUACUCGGGCUUAACCUGAGUGCUGCAUUUCAAACUGGAAGUCUAGAGUGCAGGAGAGGAGAAGGGAAUUCCUAGUGUAGCGGUGAAAUGCGUAGAGAUUAGGAAGACACCAGUGGCGAAGGCGCUUCUCUGGACUGUAACUGACGCUGAGGCUCGAAGGCGUGGGGAGCCAACAGGAUUAAAUACCCUGGUAGUCCAUGCCCGAAA
Molecule: ribosomal RNA, 769 nt
Filed under: uncultured bacterium
Lineage: Bacteria
Description: bacterial SSU rRNA
Rfam family: Bacterial small subunit ribosomal RNA
Source: RNAcentral